CCCCAGGCCCGAGUUGUAAUUUGCAGAGGAUGCUUCAAACGCGGCGCCUUCCAAGUCCCCUGGAACGGGGCGCCACAGAGGGUGAGAGCCCCGUCAGGUCGGCCGCCAAGCCUAUGUGAAGCUCCUUCGACGAGUCAAGUAGUUUGGAAAUGCUGCUCUAAAUAGGAGGUAGACCCCUUCUAAAGCUAAAUACCGGCCAGAGACCGAUAGCGCACAAGUAGAGUGAUUGAAAGAUGAAAAGCACUUUGAAAAGAGGGUUAAACAGUACGUGAAAUUGUUAAAAGGGAAGCGCUUGUAACCAGACGUGCGCUGGGCGCUUAGCGGGCGUUCUCGCCUGUGCAUUCGCCCUGGCGCAGGCCAGCGUUGGUUCGGGAGGGGGGACAAAGGUACCAGGAACGUGGCUCCCUCGGGAGUGUUAUAGCCUGGCGCGCUAUGCCCCCGCUCGGACCGAGGUUCGCGCUUUGCAAGGACGCUGGCGUAAUGGUUCCCAGCGGCCCGUUUUGAAACAUGGACCAAGGAGUUGAGGUUUUGCGCGAGUGUUUGGGUGUCAAACCCGCACGUGUAAUGAAAGUGAACGCAGGUGGGAGCUUUGGCGCAUCACCGAUUGAUCUUGAUGUUCUCGGAUGGAUUUGAGUAGGAGCGUAGGGCCUCGGACUUGAAAGAUGGUGAACUAUACUUGGAUAGGGUGAAGCUAGAGGAAACUUUGGUGGAGGCUUGCAGCGGUUCUGACGUGCAAAUCGAUUGUCAAAUCUGAGUAUGGGGGCGAAAGACUAAUCGAACUAUCUAGUAGCUGGUUACUGCCGAAGUUUCCCUUAGGAUAGCAGUGUUGAUCUCAGUUUUAUGAGGUAAAGCGAAUGAUUAGGGACUUGGGGGCGCUUUUUAGCCUUCAUCCAUUCUCAAACUUUAAAUAUGUAAGAAGCCCUUGUUGCUUAGUUGAACGUGGGCUUUCGAAUGCAGCAACACUAGUGGGCUAUUUUUGGUAAGUAGAACUGGCGAUGUGGGAUGAACUAUACGGGGGGUUAAGGUGCUGGAGUGGACGCUUAUCAGACAUCACAAAAGGCGUUAGCACAUCUUGACAGCAGGACGGUGGCCAUGGAAGUUGGAAUCUGCUAAGGACUGUGUAACAACUUACCUGCCGAAUGUGCUAGCCUUGAAAAUGGAUGGCGCUCAAGCGUCCCACCCAUACCCCCCCCUCAGGGUAGAAACGAUGCCCUGAGGAGUAGGC
This 1225-nucleotide ribosomal RNA is filed under the name Pseudolachnella falcatispora. RNAcentral's name for it is "eukaryotic LSU rRNA". It matches the Rfam family "Eukaryotic large subunit ribosomal RNA", at positions 130 to 1386 of the family's 3401-position model. The record is from RNAcentral. Lineage: Eukaryota; Fungi; Ascomycota; Sordariomycetes; Chaetosphaeriales; Chaetosphaeriaceae.